RNAcentral lists this long non-coding RNA (531 nucleotides) under Manihot esculenta (cassava). RNAcentral describes it as "long non-coding RNA (MESC_LNC011960)". The record is from RNAcentral. Lineage: Eukaryota; Viridiplantae; Streptophyta; Magnoliopsida; Malpighiales; Euphorbiaceae.
AAAUCUAUUUGGGAUUCGUGUGAUAUCAUUAUAAUAGAGCAGACUUUUGUGCAUUAAAUUUUCUCUCCUGCUCAACUAAGUUUGAUGGAAUGAAUAUAAGUUCACUCUUCACCAACUGUAAUUUCUACUCUUUAUAAAUUCUUUUAUUUACGUAUUAACUCUUACAGACUUAUUAAGAAUGAAAAUGCUUUUUGUUUGCUUCAAAGAUUCUAAACUUAUCCCCUGAUUUGAUCAAUAUUUGUUCAUGAACAUAAAAGAGAUUAUCAGUAACUCUAUUUAUGUUUAUUGAUAUGAUAUGGAAAGAAAUUAAAAAAAAAAAUACUGUUGUUAUCUUACUGAGGGUAUAGUAAUAUAUCAUUUUUUUUUUUAUUUGAUAGUUUGAUGGCAAUUUUCCUUUUCACCAAGCAGAUAACACCUUAUGUGUUUAUAAAAUUAUUGUGAGAAAAUAAUUUUUAUGGUUAAUACUUAUUACAUAAUAAGGCUCUGGUCUAUUUUAGAAUUAUGUGUUUCAUGCAUGUUUGAUUUAUAUAU